GUUAUCGUAGCUUAUCACAAGCAUAGCACUGAAAAUGCUAAGAUGGUCCCACGCCCGCAUAGCA
This 64-nucleotide transfer RNA is filed under the name Pareas stanleyi (Stanley's slug snake). Its description in RNAcentral is "tRNA-Phe". Lineage: Eukaryota; Metazoa; Chordata; Lepidosauria; Squamata; Pareidae. The record is from RNAcentral.